GCCUGAUGCAGCCAUGCCGCGUGUGUGAAGAAGGCCUUCGGGUUGUAAAGCACUUUCAGCGAGGAGGAAAGGUUACUGGCUAAUAUCCAGUAGCUGUGACGUUACUCGCAGAAGAAGCACCGGCUAACUCCGUGCCAGCAGCCGCGGUAAUACGGAGGGUGCGAGCGUUAAUCGGAAUUACUGGGCGUAAAGCGUGCGCAGGCGGUUUGUUAAGCGAGAUGUGAAAGCCCCGGGCUCAACCUGGGAACUGCAUUUUGAACUGGCAAACUAGAGUCUUGUAGAGGGGGGUAGAAUUCCAGGUGUAGCGGUGAAAUGCGUAGAGAUCUGGAGGAAUACCGGUGGCGAAGGCGGCCCCCUGGACAAAGACUGACGCUCAUGCACGAAAGCGUGGGGAGCAAACAGGAUUAGAUACCCUGGUAGUCCACGCCGUAAACGAUGUCUACUCGGAGUUUGGUGUCUUGAACACUGGGCUCUCAAGCUAACGCAUUAAGUAGACCGCCUGGG
Molecule: ribosomal RNA, 504 nt
Filed under: Shewanella sp. 1Bf2S33
Lineage: Bacteria; Pseudomonadati; Pseudomonadota; Gammaproteobacteria; Alteromonadales; Shewanellaceae
Description: bacterial SSU rRNA
Rfam family: Bacterial small subunit ribosomal RNA
Source: RNAcentral